UUGGAGGGCAAGUCUGGUGCCAGCAGCCGCGGUAAUUCCAGCUCCAAUAGCGUAUAUUAAAGUUGUUGCAGUUAAAAAGCUCGUAGUUGAAUUUCGGGGUCAGUAGGCUGGUCGUGCCUCAGGUACGUACUGGUCUUACUGAUUCCUCCUUCCUGACGAACCGUAAUGCCAUUAAUUUGGUGUUGCGGGGAAUCUGGACUGUUACUUUGAAAAAAUUAGAGUGUUUAAAGCAGGCUAACGCUUGAAUACAUUAGCAUGGAAUAAUGAAAUAGGACGAUCGAUCCUAUUUUGUUGGUUUCUAGGAUUGACGUAAUGAUUAAUAGGGAUAGUUGGGGGCAUUAGUAUUCAAUUGUCAGAGGUGAAAUUCUUGGACUUAUUGAAGACUAACUACUGCGAAAGCAUUUGCCAAGGAUGUUUUCAUUAAUCAAGAACGAAAGUUAGGGGAUCGAAGACGAUCAGAUACCGUCGUAGUCUUAACCAUAAACUAUGCCGACUAGGGAUCGGAUGAUGUUAAUUUUUUAAUGACUCAUUCGGCGCCUUACGGGAAA
Molecule: ribosomal RNA, 548 nt
Filed under: uncultured Glomeromycotina
Lineage: Eukaryota; Fungi; Glomeromycota
Description: SSU rRNA
Rfam family: Eukaryotic small subunit ribosomal RNA
Source: RNAcentral